CGAGUACAAUGACACCCGGGGACGCCCAGACCCGGACGCCCACGAGGCCCUUGGCUGCGGCCACACUGAGCUACGCUGUUCUCUGCAGGAAGCCCUGCGGAGGGGCACGCGGGUCCCGGGAGUGGCCACGGACACUGGGCAGGAACGUCAGUAAAGGUGCUGCAGCUCUUCAAAUGUGGUCCCUAGGACAUCUGUCGUCUCACCCGACCCUCUUAACAAGCCUCCAGGAACCUGUCACCCACCCCCUGCCCCCGGGCCUUGUAAGGAGAGGCGACUGCAGCUCAGAGAAUGCUUGUUCCCAAGGCCACACAGAGCGGAGGAGGCACGUGUGAGGGCCCUCGUCCAGGGCUCCUUAUCCUGAGCAGUAACAGCAGUGCACGAGCCCAGCGACACGGGGACCAGAGGAGGGCAGCAGCCGGAGGGGAGGGACAGGCAAGCGAGAGGUGACUCGGGCCAGGGUCCUGCAGGCCAGAGGGCUGCGACCUCCGGGCGGCCUUCUGCCAGACGUGCCCCUGCAAGUCGACACGGCUGACACAGCCCACGUUCCUCGUCAGCAGUGACAGCAAAGUCAGCACAGCACAGGCUCCAGACGAGAACGUCCCUCGCGGGGCCUCAAAUAACACCCCAGGGUGUCUUAGAGGGGAAACUUCUUGUCUCCCUUAUUUUCAAGUUUUAACUAUUUUUCUUGACACUGAAAAAGAUACAAAUAAAUGGAAAGGUGUUCCGUACUGCUGGGUUACAGGGAUGAAUGUCGUUAAAAUGCCGCCACUACCCAACGCCCCCUGCAGACCCGGUGCAAGUCCAAUGGCACCCUGCACAGGAAGAGAACGAGCCGUCUGCAUUUGCAUGGAACCAGACAGCAAAAGCAAUCGUGAGAAAGAGCGAACCUGGAGGCACCACACGUCCUGAGUUUAAACUAUGUUACUAACCUAUAGUCAUCCAAACAGUGUGGCGCUGGCAGAAAAACAGACACACAGACCAAGGCACCAGAACACAGAGCCCCAGAUAAACCCACAUACACACGUUCUGUUAGCUUACAACAAAGGAGCCAAGAACACACAGUAGAGAAAGGGUGGUCCUUUCGACCCGGCAGACCUCGUUCUAUGGUGCCCCCCUCUAUUGUGCUUUGUACCCCAAUUGUUGCAAAGUAAAGGUUGUGGCAACCUC
Molecule: non-coding RNA, 1167 nt
Organism: Vicugna pacos (alpaca)
Lineage: Eukaryota; Metazoa; Chordata; Mammalia; Artiodactyla; Camelidae
Source: RefSeq, a predicted model, not a curated record